CUACGGGAGGCAGCAGUGAGGAAUAUUGGGCAAUGCCCGAAAGGGUGACCCAGCAACGCCGCGUGGAGGAUGAAUGUCGUAAGAUUGUAAACUCCUGUUAGAGGGGAAGAAUAAUUCCGAUUGACUCGGAACUUGACUGUACCCUCAGAGAAAGCCCCGGCUAACUACGUGCCAGCAGCCGCGGUAAUACGUAGGGGGCAAGCGUUGUCCGGGUUUACUGGGUGUAAAGGGCGCGCAGGUGGGUUUGCAAGUCAGAGGUGAAAUCUCACGGCUUGACCGUGAAAGUGCCUUUGAUACUGUAAAUCUUGAGUACGGAAGAGAGAGACGGAAUUCCAGGUGUAGUGGUGAAAUACGUAGAUAUCUGGAAGAACACCAGUUGCGAAGGCGGUCUCUUGGUCCGAUACUGACGCUCAGGCGCGAAAGCGUUGGUAGCAAACAGGAUUAGAAACCCCUGUAGUCC
This 460-nucleotide ribosomal RNA is filed under the name uncultured bacterium. Its description in RNAcentral is "bacterial SSU rRNA". It matches the Rfam family "Bacterial small subunit ribosomal RNA", at positions 339 to 796 of the family's 1533-position model. The record is from RNAcentral.